This 98-nucleotide transfer RNA is filed under the name Metarhizium anisopliae. RNAcentral describes it as "tRNA-Arg". It matches the Rfam family "tRNA". From Rfam's summary of the family: Transfer RNA (tRNA) molecules are approximately 80 nucleotides in length. Their secondary structure includes four short double-helical elements and three loops (D, anti-codon, and T loops). The record is from RNAcentral. Lineage: Eukaryota; Fungi; Ascomycota; Sordariomycetes; Hypocreales; Clavicipitaceae.
GCCCCCGUGGCCUAAUGGUUAAGGCGUGAGCCUUCUAUCAUGGCAUAUCAGUCCAGGAUCCGAAGCUCAACAUUGCGGGUUGAGUCCCGCCGGGGGUU